AGAACGAACGCUGGCGGCAUGCCUAACACAUGCAAGUCGAACGUGAUCCAUGACUUCGGUUGUGGUGAAAGUGGCAAACGGGUGAGUAACGCGUGGGAAUCUGCCCAGAGGUAGGGAAUAACCGCGGGAAACUGCGGCUAAUACCCUAUGUGCCCUACGGGGCAAAGAUUUAUCGCCUUUGGAGGAGCCCGCGUCGGAUUAGGUAGUUGGUAGGGUAACGGCCUACCAAGCCUACGAUCCGUAGCUGGUCUGAGAGGAUGAUCAGCCACACUGGGACUGAGAUACGGCCCAGACUCCUACGGGAGGCAGCAGUGGGGAAUAUUGGACAAUGGGGGCAACCCUGAUCCAGCAAUGCCGCGUGAGUGAUGAAGGCCUUCGGGUUGUAAAGCUCUUUCGGCGGGGAAGAUGAUGACGGUACCGCAGAAGAACGCCCGGCUAACUUCGCGCCAGCAGCCGC
Molecule: ribosomal RNA, 457 nt
Filed under: uncultured bacterium
Lineage: Bacteria
Description: SSU rRNA
Rfam family: Bacterial small subunit ribosomal RNA
Source: RNAcentral